This is an RNA transcript of Anoplopoma fimbria (sablefish), 2519 nucleotides long. It is a transcript of the gene named solute carrier family 37 member 2, with no coding region annotated. NCBI's taxonomy places the organism in Eukaryota, Metazoa, Chordata, Actinopteri, Perciformes, Anoplopomatidae. The transcript has 11 exons. The record is from RefSeq and is a predicted model, not a curated record.
CAAAACAGUUGUUAACUGUCAACACACACACGUGAGGUGGAUAUUCCUUUAUUUUAUUUGAUUGCUAAAACGUGUACAUGUGCGUUGUACUGUGGACAACCCCGCUGUCCCACCACGUCAACGAAUAACUACCCCACGUGGCCCCAGAGGAGAUAUCUAGAGUGGUGAGCUAGCAUCAGGCUAACGAGGCUAACAAUGAGUGCCAGCCGGCGUUUAACCUCUACGAGCCGCAGGGGCAAAGCUUCAGAGAGCCGGGGUAAAGAGCACCCAGCACCCAGGGGUGCCAGCAGGGUGCUGGGCGAGAGGAACCAGUCGGUGGUGGCGGUGGGAGCCUGGGUGGAGGGCGGACAAGACUUCCUGGAGCACCCAGAGGCUCUGGCUUUGCUUACUGAGGAGAUCCAGGCAGAGAAGAGGAGGGAGACCGAAGAGAGCCUUCAACGAUUUCAAGAUGAAGUACGCCAUCGUGUGGCACAGCAAGCUCAAGUCAUCAAGAAGAGACGGCAGCCUCAGACAGACUCAGAGGUGAAACCUGACAGGAGAAUCCCACAACGGCAGCAUCAGGUCUGGACCCAGCAUGUGUCUGCUGGUGAGAGGCUGUUGUCUGCGGGAGAUGCUGCACAACAGAGGGUGACUGAGAGGAGCUCUCAUGAGUCUAGAGGAGGUAUGAGGCAGGUCAGACUCAGACUGGCCGCCUGUCGGAUGAUCCCGCAUGGGGAAAUGACGUCAGACCUUCCUGGUGGCGAAUGGAACAUCUCUCCAACCAGACAUAAAUCUGGAUCUCAUGUGCUAAAACCAGAACAGGAAGUGGAAGAGCAGGAGGAGGAGGAUGUUCAGGAAGAAGAAGAGGAGGAUGAUCAUCUCUUCCCUAGUCAACAUGCGUGUCCUCUCGUUCGGCAGAAGGUGAGUGAGCCUGUGUUGUUGGAUUCAGAGAAAUCACAGCCUCCUGCUUUCAAGUCCAUUGACAGAGUCCCACAGGCCCUGUGGCCUCUGACUGACCAAGAAGAACUGAAAAGACAGCGUCAGUCUCAGUUCCUGAUGCACCGCCGUCUGUACAUGAACAUCGAGAGAGAGCAAGUGAAGGAGAACAAACAGAACAGGAAACACCUGAAGAGGACGGCAAGGAUCAAAGAAGAGAAAGAACAGAUUCGUCUGGAGGAGGAGAGGAAGUUGGAGAGAGUUCGGCAGCUCGUGGAGGCCAGACAGAAGCUGGAGGAGAGAGAGCUGCUGAUUCUGGAGCGUCUGAAGCUUGAGGAGGAGGAGGAGAGAGAAGUGCAGCUGCAGAGAAGGCAAAGGGAGGAUAAAGGGAAAGCAGCUGCAAGGUUCAUUGAGGCUCUUAGAGCUCAGAUGAAGGAGCGACUUUCUCAGGAGAAGCUGGAGCCGCCUCCUCUCUGCUGCUGUGCAUCAUCCUUCUGGGAGUCCCACCCAGACACCUGCGCUAACAACUGUAUCUUCCACAACAAUCCCAAAGCGUAUGCCAAGGCGUUACAUUCCACAAUGAUGAGUUUGGAGUUACAGUAAAGGAAGCUGAUGAACUGAAACAGUCUCCCACCUGUGUGUUUUAAAGGAACAGUCCAACAUUUCUGGGAAAAAACAGCGCAUUCAUGUUUUCCACAAGAUUAAUGCAGGCAUCUAUCAGAUGGUGUGGCGCAAAAUUUUGGGAAGACAUUGAUGGCUCUGAGAUUAUGUAUCCUAAAGACUUUGGUGAUCCACUGACUUUGCUCUAGUGCCUUUCAUCAGGUCAAAAUGUUACUUUACCCAAUACUUUGAUUUUUUUUUACUAAAUGCCUACAGUACUAAAGACAACAGAUACUGUAAGAAUCACAUUUAACUUUAUUUAUAGAUAAAUGCACAAGUCAUUUACCGAUUUUUCUGCUUUAAUCAUAUUUAUUUGGAUGAGGAUUUAAACUCAUCUACAGGUUGGAGAGUGAGUUUUUCAAAUGGAUUAUUUGUAUUUUAAGCAGAAUCUUGUCAUUGCUUUGCAUUUUCUUUGAGUAUUUUGUUUGAUGUUGUUGAUAAAUUCAUCAGAUUGGCAGCAGAUUGACAGAAGAGGCAGAUGUCAAUCUUCUUAAAGUUUCAUACACAUUCCUCCCAGUAAUUUACUUGUAGUAAUUGUUAUUGAUAAAAAAGAAAUAGGUAUAAUUGCUUCCUUUCUGCGAAGCUAUGAUUAGUAAAUCAUCAGGGAAGUCAGUCAGUACAUUUGAAAACUAUGAAUCUGUACUUUAGGCUACUUCAACAUUCUUCAGGGUUGUGCUUAAAAAAAUGUAAUAUUUUUUUUUUCUUCUUAAUAGGAACAAGUGUGUAAUCUAUCAUACAGUAAUAUCUUCCUGCAUGAGACACAUUUUUAUUUCAAAAUGGACUACUCUCUGUUCGGAUUCUUACAUAAUUUUUUUCUGAAUGAUUAUAGUCUUGGCUAUAUUUAGAUAUUUUGAAUGUAUGGUGAUGGUGUCAAUUGUUGGAAGUUGAAAUGUUCUAAUCUCUAUUUAUAACACUGUGGUAUGAAAUCCUGAUAAAGAAUUUGA